UGAACGCUGGCGGCAGGCCUAACACAUGCAAGUCGAGCGGAUGAAGGGAGCUUGCUCCUGGAUUCAGCGGCGGACGGGUGAGUAAUGCCUAGGAAUCUGUCUGGUAGUGGGGGAUAACGUCCGGAAACGGGCGCUAAUACCGCAUACGUCCUGAGGGAGAAAGUGGGGGAUCUUCGGACCUCACGCUAUCAGAUGAGCCUAGGUCGGAUUAGCUAGUUGGUGGGGUAAAGGCCUACCAAGGCGACGAUCCGUAACUGGUCUGAGAGGAUGAUCAGUCACACUGGAACUGAGACACGGUCCAGACUCCUACGGGAGGCAGCAGUGGGGAAUAUUGGACAAUGGGCGAAAGCCUGAUCCAGCCAUGCCGCGUGUGUGAAGAAGGUCUUCGGAUUGUAAAGCACUUUAAGUUGGGAAGAAGAGCAGUAAGUUAAUACCUUGCUGUUUUGACGUUACCAACAGAGUAAGCACCGGCUAACUUCGUG
This 482-nucleotide ribosomal RNA is filed under the name uncultured bacterium. RNAcentral's name for it is "partial 16S ribosomal RNA". It matches the Rfam family "Bacterial small subunit ribosomal RNA", at positions 30 to 507 of the family's 1533-position model. The record is from RNAcentral.